CUCAAUGGUCCUCCUGACGUUCUAAGCUUGUUCUUGUGUCACAGAGCCUGGAAGUCUGGAAAGCACAUUGUCCAGAUUCCUUUGCCGGUGGAACAUGGAGUGAUAGAAAACAGGAGCUGGGUUGAGGCAAGACAGAUGUCACCAAGCAUCUGCUACAUCCCAUGGCUGGCAACAGAAACAUGGCUUCUGAGAACAUAAUGUUGCUCAGCUAAAUUUGAGAAGAGCCUUCUCUUUCUCUGCUAUCUGCAAACUUAAUCCUUCUAAGGGCGGUGGAGUUGCUAACAUUCAGGCCAGGUGUUGACCAGGAAGUGAAGCGAGAUUAUUAAGAGUACACUUACACACCGCAAGCUGCAUCACAAGUGCCUCAGAAUGCUUGAAAAUGAGGUCCUAUCUGGCACAGCUGCCCAGGGUUUGCGUUUCCUGUUCACAUCUGUGGGUUCUCUGUGAUCAAGAACUGCCUGCCCUGGGAAAUCCACUUGUUUUCCUCCACUCAGUGCCAAAUGCCUUCGUCUUUGUUUCUGCAAGCUCUCAACAUUCACUAUUGGCCUUUUAA
Molecule: long non-coding RNA, 553 nt
Filed under: Pan troglodytes (chimpanzee)
Lineage: Eukaryota; Metazoa; Chordata; Mammalia; Primates; Hominidae
Description: lncRNA (ENSPTRG00000054517.1)
Source: RNAcentral